GGACCCAUCCCAAGCCCAUCUAUAUUGCGGGCCACCACAACACAAACCCAUUUCUGUUGACCAUGGGCUGAUAAUGGCGUUUGUGAUUAGAUUUGUAGUACUUGUGAUUAGAUUUUAAUGAAUUUGGACCCUUAAACUAGUAAGAACGUUAAGAUUUAAAUAGAGAAAGUAUGUGAGGAUCUGUGAGAGCUUGUGUUUAG
Molecule: long non-coding RNA, 200 nt
Filed under: Phoenix dactylifera (date palm)
Lineage: Eukaryota; Viridiplantae; Streptophyta; Magnoliopsida; Arecales; Arecaceae
Description: long non-coding RNA (PDAC_LNC015434)
Source: RNAcentral